UCUGCAAGUGAUGAAGAACAGACAGGGACAUCAGAACUUCAUUAAGAGUUAUGAUGAUUUGUCAAACAAUGGGAAUCUCUAUGAUGCUUA
Impatiens glandulifera is the source of this 90-nucleotide small nucleolar RNA. RefSeq annotates it as small nucleolar RNA R44/J54/Z268 family. NCBI's taxonomy places the organism in Eukaryota, Viridiplantae, Streptophyta, Magnoliopsida, Ericales, Balsaminaceae. The record is from RefSeq and is a predicted model, not a curated record. The transcript has a single exon.